Molecule: ribosomal RNA, 621 nt
Filed under: uncultured bacterium
Lineage: Bacteria
Description: bacterial SSU rRNA
Rfam family: Bacterial small subunit ribosomal RNA
Source: RNAcentral
AGAGUUUGAUCAUGGCUCAGAUUGAACGCUGGCGGCAUGCCUACACAUGCAAGUCGAACUGGGUAACGGGGGCAAGCCUGGCGACGAGUGGCGAACGGGUGAGUAAUGCUCGGAUACGUGCCCAGUAGUGGGGGAUAGCCGGCGAAAGCCGGAUUAAUACCGCAUACGACCUACGGGUGAAAGCGGGGGACUCGCAAGAGCCUCGCGCUAUUGGAGCGGCCGAUGUCAGAUUAGCUAGUUGGUGGGGUAAAAGCCUACCAAGGCGACGAUCGGUAGCUGGUCUGAGAGGACGACCAGCCACACUGGGACUGAGACACGGCCCAGACUCCUACGGGAGGCAGCAGUGGGGAAUUUUGGACAAUGGGCGCAAGCCUGAUCCAGCCAUGCCGCGUGCGGGAAGAAGGCCUUCGGGUUGUAAACCGCUUUUGGGAAGAAAGGGGGUAAUGACGGUACCUGAAGAAUAAGCACCGGCAUAUAACUACGUGCCAGCAGCCGCGGUAAUACGUAGGGGCAAGCGUUAAUCGGAAUUACUGGGCGUAAAGCGUGCGCAGGCGGUUAUGCAAGACAGAUGUGAAAUCCCCGCCAACAGGGCUCUACAACCUGGGAACUGCAUUUGUGACU